This is a long non-coding RNA of Erpetoichthys calabaricus (reedfish), 294 nucleotides long. RefSeq lists it as uncharacterized. The transcript is spliced from 2 exons. NCBI's taxonomy places the organism in Eukaryota, Metazoa, Chordata, Cladistia, Polypteriformes, Polypteridae. The record is from RefSeq and is a predicted model, not a curated record.
GGCUGGAUGUGGAAUUGGAAGAGGAUUUUUUUUUCUCACAAUGUCACAAUUGAAGUGUGUUUGUCUGAUCUGUCAAUCUAUCAUUGCUAUUCCAAAGAAGGAAAAUGUGGAAAGGCACUUUCGAACUGUUCAUAAAAACUACGAAACUGACUUCCUUCCGAAAAGCGAUCUGAGAAAGAGAAAGGAGAGGGAACUAAAAUCGCACUGGAGACGCAAUGGAAGGCGUGUGCACAACUUGACAGCAUACGCUACACAGAGCAGAUUGAAAUUUGCCUGUCAGACUUUAACAGAUGG